UCGAGAAUCUUCCGCAAUGCGCGAAAGCGUGACGGAGCAAUGCCGCGUGCCGGAUGAAGGUCUUCGGAUUGUAAACGGCUGUCACUUGGGACGAAAAAAAUGACGGUACCAAGGGAGGAAGCCACGGCUAACUACGUGCCAGCAGCCGCGGUAAUACGUAGGUGGCGAGCGUUGUUCGGAAUUAUUGGGCGUAAAGGGUCCGCAGGUGGCUAUUUAAGUCUGAUGUGAAAUCUCACCGCUCAACGGUGAAACUGCAUUGGAAACUGAAUAGCUAGAGUAUCGGAGAGGUCAUUGGAAUUCUAGGUGUAGCGGUGGAAUGCGUAGAUAUCUAGAGGAACACCAAAAGCGAAGGCAGAUGACUGGACGAUUACUGACACUCAGGGACGAAAGCAUGGGGAGCAAACA
This 405-nucleotide ribosomal RNA is filed under the name uncultured bacterium. Its description in RNAcentral is "partial 16S ribosomal RNA". It matches the Rfam family "Bacterial small subunit ribosomal RNA", at positions 355 to 774 of the family's 1533-position model. The record is from RNAcentral.